Molecule: long non-coding RNA, 147 nt
Organism: Thalassophryne amazonica
Lineage: Eukaryota; Metazoa; Chordata; Actinopteri; Batrachoidiformes; Batrachoididae
Exons: 2
Source: RefSeq, a predicted model, not a curated record
AAAUUUGCACCACAGAUAGAUGUUAGGCCAUGGAAGACUCCACUAAAUUUUGGAGGUGAUCCGGAUCCGGAUUCUAGCUCAGGAUUUGUUGGGAGUGAUCCGGAUCAAUAUCCAGGUUCUGCAGCAGACAGAUACGACAUCAUGAUG